CACACACGUGGUUCGGUCGGCUCGGGUACAUAAAUUUUUAAUAAAGUUUCGGCUAGAACAAGAAAACAAGGAAUUGUCUGACCAUGUCCAUGUCGGGAGUGUUCGAUUUACAAAACACACCAGUACCGCAAUGAUCGCGAGUGAUACGGCGCUGUCGGAAUUUCGACCUAGUUUGUAGUCGAUGGAUGAAUUGAAAUAUCCGGUGAGCACCGUCACGAAACGGAAGCGGUACAGGAGCAAAGGACCGGCAGCCGAAUGUUCCGGCCUACGGACAAACAAAAAGUUUUCCGUAUUGUGCCCAAUUUUUCCGUCUUAUUGCCCUACAUAGCAUAGAUAGAGGCAGAAGUCUGUGUCCCAAUGCGAAUUAAUCCGCUGUCCACAUCCACGCAAAACCCCGUCACUCACCUGCAGACUGACAAGAACGCCGAAAUGGAACGGAUAAAAUGCGGACCAUGGGAAUUACUUAAAUCGGUAGACUGUCUGCAAAAGGAAUGGCCAGGGUUAUUGGCGCUGCAUUCAAUUCAAGAAUCGUCGGGCGGAUCAAUGCGUGAAACUUUCUUGGUUAUUAGACUGCAUGACUACGAUGAUCCGCCAGACGCACCUGCAUGCCGCAUUGCAAGGAGAGUCGGGAAAACUCCUGCUGGGCCUAUAUAUCCACCCGGUGUUACCAGCGGCCGGUAUAAUGCCCAACCACAGAGAAACAGACGUCUCACUUAGAACAAAAUGCAAUCAAAAUCAUCGUCACGAAAACAGUACCGCCCAAUUCUAAAUGCACUGUAGGUGGACAAGCGGCAACCAGGUGGCGGUAGUGAGCAAACGUCAAACACAAGUAAAACCGAUGGAAGCGCCAUCGGUGGCCGAUCGACCACCUACAAAAAAUUGAAUCCACCGUUAAAAAGAUGAACGAUGGAACAUGUGUAGAGUGAGACGUCUGUUUCUCUGUGGCCCAACGUUCCGGUUAGAAGAGAUCAGACCCGGUGUCACCGAACUAAAGACGAUA
This is an RNA transcript of Armigeres subalbatus, 1000 nucleotides long. RefSeq lists it as uncharacterized. Lineage: Eukaryota; Metazoa; Arthropoda; Insecta; Diptera; Culicidae. The transcript has 2 exons. The record is from RefSeq and is a predicted model, not a curated record.